Molecule: ribosomal RNA, 504 nt
Filed under: uncultured Thiotrichales bacterium
Lineage: Bacteria; Pseudomonadati; Pseudomonadota; Gammaproteobacteria; Thiotrichales
Description: bacterial SSU rRNA
Rfam family: Bacterial small subunit ribosomal RNA
Source: RNAcentral
UGAUCCAGCAAUACCGCGUGUGUGAAGAAGGCCUGCGGGUUGUAAAGCACUUUUAGUGGGGAAGAUAAUGACGUUACCUACAGAAAAAGCACCGGCUAACUCCGUGCCAGCAGCCGCGGUAAUACGGAGGGUGCAAGCGUUAAUCGGAAUUACUGGGCGUAAAGCGUGCGUAGGCGGCUCUUUAAGUCGGAUGUGAAAUCCCCGGGCUCAACCUGGGAACUGCAUCCGAUACUGGAGAGCUAGAAUGUGGGAGAGGGAAGUGGAAUUUCCGGUGUAGCGGUGAAAUGCAUAGAGAUCGGAAGGAACAUCAGUGGCGAAGGCGACUUCCUGGACCAACAUUGACGCUGAGGCACGAAAGCGUGGGUAGCAAACAGGAUUAGAUACCCUGGUAGUCCACGCCGUAAACGAUGUCAACUAGCCGUCGGCUCCAACUAAUGGGUCGGUGGUGCAGCUAACGCAUUAAGUUGACCGCCUGGGGAGUACGCGCGCAAGCGUAAAACUCAA